Molecule: long non-coding RNA, 2432 nt
Organism: Zonotrichia leucophrys gambelii
Lineage: Eukaryota; Metazoa; Chordata; Aves; Passeriformes; Passerellidae
Exons: 3
Source: RefSeq, a predicted model, not a curated record
GGCUUGUCCUGCUAGCAAGUACAGAGCUCAGGGCAGUCAUGAGACUCUUCACUCUACAUGGAGCAGGAAAAGAACAUCAUCCAAUGACAGAAAGGAAGAAAAAAAAAACCCAAAACCAACCAGGAUUCAUCUCAUGCUUACCAGCAAAUCCCCAUGCCUCAAGCAGAGGAAUUUUAGGGUGAGAAAGGAGCAUACCCUAGAACAAUCCUGCUGCCAGCGACAGUUUCACUUUAGCUUUGUCUCAUCAAAGGCAAGAUGAAAGCCAGCAGAGUGGCUAUGAAGAGCUAAAUUUCUGAAGAACAAUGGCAUUGUGUUGAAUUAGGGCCACAGCAUUGAAUUCCAGAAGCUUUUUAAAGUUAUUAUGUAUUAACUGAGCCACUGUAUCUGCAUGUGACUGUGCUUGGAGAUUGCCUCAAGACCUCUGUGUCUGAGCUUAAGCAAUAAUGAAUGAGGUUGAGGCUCAUGCAUUUUGCCUUGACUUUGAGAGUGAAAAAAUCCCAACCUGUGAUGGAGAAUGGUGUCAGCUGAGGAGAUUGGUGGUAACUUGUUAAGCCUUUCUGACUCAUCUGUGUCAAAUCUCCUGCCUGUGCCCUUAGCUGCAGUUAACUGGACUUUGGGGCAGAUAGAGAAAUAAAUGCAGAGACUGAGGAAAAAAAAAAUACCCAGCACUCCAAACACACUUGGCUACUCAAAAACGUGCCUGGGAAAAAAAUGCUCAGUUAAAAGAGACACCUAAAUUAUUCACCAACUUUUUAAAGUUUUACACUCUCUGUCAUUGAUUUCUGACUCUGGCAUAUUCAUCAUCAUAUGACAUGUUAUUGAAUUACUGACUCUCACCAAACUGAAACAAACUGGUCAAUUCUUUAUGUUCUUAGGAGAAACAGAAAAACAGAGAGGCUGAUCUCUGCAUUAUCCCACUUCAACCCUGUUUAUCUUGUUCUUUCAAACUGUUGCAAGUUAUUCAAAUGAAUAUUUAGGUGUUGAAUACCUCCAGCUUUCAUUCAGGUGUCAAAGGACUGACCAGGUUAAACCUUUCCAUAAUUUAAGGUCCUUAAAAAUAUGGAGUGACUCUUGGAAAGUAGAAUAGGAUUCACUUCACAGAAAUUCACUGUAUAUUUUACUAUCUCCAUUAUAAAAGUCUAAUCUAGAUAAUUCUAUAGUUAUCUGAUAAAAAUAACCCUUUCAGAGAGUAAUGUAUAAAUCAUUUCAGAUAUUUGGGUGAAAAAAAACAUAAAUGCUCUCCACUUCCUCUUGAGAGUCUCAACAGCUCACAUUACAGGUUUUUUUGCUUUCUUUGAAUUAAAAAGCCUUACUUAAAUUGUGGCAAGGCUUUGCAUAUAUUCAUCAUUUUCCAUCUGGAAAGUCUUCCAUUAUUAAUACAUAAGCUGAGCUCAAGUAGAAAAAUACAUUUUCUCCUAUUUUAUGUGAGGCACAAAGGCUGCUUUCUGAAGAUGCAUUCAUCAAAGGGGCAUUCCUUUAAUGAAUUGCUUGUGCUGUGAAUAUUCCCUGCUCCCUUGUCACCCUGUGUGACCAGAGUGUGCUUCACUGGAGGGCACUGCCUAAUUUGAUGGAGGUAGAAGAGCCUCUCUCUGCACAGGUUCUAAUGGAUUUCCCUCAUUCCCAGGCUCUUGGCCUCUUGCUGAUCCUCCUGCCCUCCAAUUGUGCUUCAUGAGAGAGCUCUUGGUAUUGCUGAGGUUGGAGGAGCUGCUGUCAGGGCUGAAAGAAACCAUUCACCAGCUAUGGGAAAAGAUUCCAGAGCCCCAAAAAGGUGUCCACACUGUGUCAUUGUGGUUGAAAAGAGCCUUUUGCAGAGCUGGGCAUCACAUGCAAAUUUCCUGAGACUUAAACUCAAUUCCAUUCAUCUUCCCCAAUUAAUGAUUUUAUGCACAGAACAAUAGCCAGUGUUCUGGACAGUAGAGAGACAACAAAAUGGCAAGUCUAUUUGUCUGCUUCUUUGCUUCUUGUGCAUGGGAGCUGUGAGCACUCACAGAGCCUGUAAUACCAAGAUUUAUUUAAACUGGGAAGUUCAUAAGGCCUUGAUCAAAACAAACAUAAUUCCAUUCAUUGAGCAGGAUCACGGGAGUGCACUGAACUGAUAUUGAUCUGAUUAUGGCAGUAUCUGGAUUAAACAUUCUGAUCCUGAAGGUUUAAGAUGUUCAAGAUUAAGGAAAAAAAGCAGAGACAAGACCCAGUAGUAUACAGAGUGCUGGAUAGCUUUUUGUAUUCUCCUCUUUUCCUCCCUUUUUUAAAGCUUCUUCCCUUCUGAGCUUGAAAUAUUAAAGACUACAAGCUGUUCUGCAUAGCUGGAAACCUGCAGACACAAAACAAUGUAGAUAUGCUUGUGUCAGUUAUACCUUGCUCCAUUUAUUAAAAUACUGUUUUAAGUAUGUCUGGUUUAAAUCCACCUUUCAUUAUUUAGUUGUUUUUAUUUU